CGCGUGGGUAACCUGCCUCAUACAGGGGGAUAGCAGUUGGAAACGACUGGUAAAACCGCAUAAGCGCACGGUGUCGCAUGACACAGUGUGAAAACACUCCGGUGGUAUGAGAUGGACCCGCGUCUGAUUAGCUAGUUGGUGAGGUAACGGCCCACCAAGGCGACGAUCAGUAGCCGGCCUGAGAGGGUGAACGGCCACAUUGGGACUGAGACACGGCCCAA
This 221-nucleotide ribosomal RNA is filed under the name uncultured bacterium. RNAcentral's name for it is "partial 16S ribosomal RNA". It matches the Rfam family "Bacterial small subunit ribosomal RNA", at positions 114 to 334 of the family's 1533-position model. The record is from RNAcentral.